This 406-nucleotide ribosomal RNA is filed under the name Klebsiella pneumoniae. RNAcentral describes it as "bacterial SSU rRNA". It matches the Rfam family "Bacterial small subunit ribosomal RNA", at positions 347 to 765 of the family's 1533-position model. Lineage: Bacteria; Pseudomonadati; Pseudomonadota; Gammaproteobacteria; Enterobacterales; Enterobacteriaceae. The record is from RNAcentral.
GGCUGCAGUGGGGAAUAUUGCACAAUGGGCGAAAGCCUGAUGCAGCGACGCCGCGUGAGGGAUGACGGCCUUCGGGUUGUAAACCUCUUUCAGCAGGGAAGAAGCUUUUGUGACGGUACCUGCAGAAGAAGCACCGGCUAACUACGUGCCAGCAGCCGCGGUAAUACGUAGGGUGCGAGCGUUGUCCGGAAUUAUUGGGCGUAAAGAGCUUGUAGGCGGUUUGUCGCGUCUGCUGUGAAAGCCCGGGGCUUAACUCCGGGUCUGCAGUGGGUACGGGCAGACUAGAGUGUGGUAGGGGAGACUGGAAUUCCUGGUGUAGCGGUGGAAUGCGCAGAUAUCAGGAGGAACACCGAUGGCGAAGGCAGGUCUCUGGGCCAUAACUGACGCUGAGAAGCGAAAGCAUGGG